Molecule: long non-coding RNA, 2436 nt
Filed under: Vigna radiata
Lineage: Eukaryota; Viridiplantae; Streptophyta; Magnoliopsida; Fabales; Fabaceae
Description: long non-coding RNA (VRAD_LNC011621)
Source: RNAcentral
UGCUGUGCAACUCAUUAAUAUUUUACCUUCCACAGUUUUAACAUAUUUUUCUCCAUCUCAGCUGUUACACAAUGUUAAACCUGACAUUACUUACUUGCGAGUUUUUGGCUCACUUUGCUAUGCUUCAACUCUUCAAGCACAUAGAACAAAAUUUCAACCUCGUGCAAGAAAAUGUGUUUUACUUGGUUUUAAAACAAGAGUGAAAGGCUACCUUUUGUUAGAUUUCAAUUCAAGGGAAAUUUUUCUAUCAAGGAAUGUAGUAUUUUAUGAAAACAUAUUUCCUUUUCUUACUAGUGACAAGCACUCACCUAUUGAUACACAAAAUUUAAAUUCAUUGGAUUUGGUCACCAAAAUUAAUUCAUCUCCAUCACCUCUUUUCUCAGAAGUUACUGAUCAACCCUCUUUACCACCUACAUCUCCUCCUUCUAUUGUUCCAGACCCUGUUAGUUUUUCUUCUCAACCUCUUUCUGUUGAACCUGCCACUGCUACUCCACAAAGGAAAUCAACUAGGCCAACACAUAAACCAUCUUAUUUGCAGGACUAUCAUUGCAACAUGUUAUCUACUUCUUCCGCCACUCAGUCAUCCACAGGUAUCUUAUAUCCUAUUGAUGAGUCAAUAUUUUCUUGACUUCACUUAGUUUAUUGUGCUUAAAUUAAUCAGGGAAUUGUGCUUAAAUGUCCAGUAUUUUCCCGUUUUCGCUUAUAGUGCUUAAUUUGACCGGAAAUUCUAAUUUUAAUUAAUUUGAAUUUUCUGAGCUAAUUAUUUGCAUUAUUAUUUUCAGGGAAAAUUUUGGAAACACAAUUUGGGACAUUUGGAGGACAACAAAAUAAUUCAAGACUCUCCGAUUAGACAUUUUAAAUUUUAGUUGUAUUGAAAAUUAAUUGUUUAAACUUUUUGAACAAACUUUUGCACAUUGGGCCAUUGUUUAAAAAUUAUGAAAGGGCCAAAAUUGUAGGACACUUGUCCUAGGGUUUCUUUUUAUUUUUUUAGGAUGGACCCCACCUCAUUUAGGGGACACACGUCCCUUGCUAGAAAACACCAGCCGUCAUACAUUGGGACUUGAAGUUGGCUCUCGGCGUUUUUUUCUUUGGCAGAGCUGGAACGAUUUUGUGGGGAAGAACUUGGAUGAUGUUCACUCUCAGGGGCAUUGGUUGAAUGAGAUAUGAAAUUACUCUUCCUUAAUUUAUUUUUGCUGAAGCCACAGUUUAAGUUUCAUUAUGCUAAUUUAUUUUUCUUUUAAAGAAAGAUGAGAUUGUUGCUUGAGGUUGGUGCUGCCACGGUACUGGAGUUUAUUUUGGAGGCAAAUGUUUCCUUUCUUCAUGGAGAAAAAUCACGUUGAUUCCAUUGCAUUAGAGUUGCUUUUCUUUAAAAAUUAAGCAUUUCAAUUCUCUCUCUUUAUGCAUACAUGAUGAUUAGAUGGGAUUAGGUGAGAGUUGGAAUGAUGAUGGAUUGACUUUUAUGUUUUUCUCUGAAUGCAAUGUACCGUGUGUGAUGCUUGGAAACUUUUAGUUUCAUUUGAAGAAUAAUGAAUGAGAGUGGUCACAUCAACUCUAGCUUGCAAAUUUUUAAUUAAUCUUAGGUGGCAUUUUUACUUCUUUCAUUUGGGAUUCAAGCACACGGUGAAGCAGCUGGAACGUGCUUUCUUUUCAUUCAUGGUGCAACGUUUUUUUAUUUUCAUUUAUUCUGCAGCAUUUUUAUAUUUGGAAGCAAAGAAUCAAAUUUGAUUUUGAAAGAGAGGCACGGUGGUGAUGAUUUUUUUUUUAAUUUUCUUUUGCAUUAGAAUCUUUUAUAUGAAUUGUUUUCUCUUAUUUUUUUUUUUUUACUUUAAGUAUUGCAAGCUUAACAUUUCACGGUAAUGUUAGAAUAGUUUUAUGCUUUUUAAUUUCUUUUGCAUUAUUAGAAUAUUUUCCAUGAAUUAUUUUGUUUCAUCUUUUUAAUUAAGUGUUACAAUUUUAAUAAUUUUUGUUGUACUUGAAUAUUUAUAUGUUGUAUUGUUCAGUCUAAUAUUUUCAUGCACUUUAAUGUUUUAAAUUAAAUUCAGUUGUGCUUAAUUUUUAUUUUUAAUUUCAUCAUUGCAUUCUCAAAAACACCUUCGAAACCCCCCCACUAUGUGUUAGACCUGAUUCUGAACCGCAGUUGGUCCUUGAGAGACGACCUAGGGGUCAUUCCCUAGCAUUAUACUGCAUUUCUAAAUUGCAAUUAAAUUUGUAUGGGCCGCCAUCACCUAUCUCUUCAUAUCUCUCAUAUGAUGCAUUAUCAUCUCUUCAUAAAUCAUAUGUCUUGAAUCUUUCCCAAGUUAGUGAACCUAAAACCUAUAACCAAGCCAUCAAACAUGAUUGUUGGAGAAAUGCCAUGGAUCAAGAAAUUGCAGCUUUAGAAAAUACCAAAACUUGGGUUUUGACUGAUCUACCUUAUGGAAAGCAACCUAUUGGAUG